AUGAAGAUGAUCAAGAAUAUUCACUUCAUCUCUCUUUGUUAUUAUUCUCUCUUCUUGGUCUUCUCCAGUAUUGUCGUGGCCGUGGCGGCACAGAAUGAUCCGGUGAAUGUGGGAGUUGGAGUGGUUCUUGAUUCCUCUUCUGGGGUUGGGAAGAUGGGGUUGAGCUGCAUCAACAUGUCGCUCACGGACUUCUAUGCCUCUCAUCCCAAUUACACCACCAGGCUGCUUCUGCACCAGAAAAACUCAUCACCCGAAGACGUUGUUCUUACUGCGGCUGCAGCUCUGGACCUAAUAAAUAACGAUCAAGUGCAAGCCAUCAUAGGCCCACAAUCUUCAAUGGAGGCCAACUUCCUAAUAAGCCUCGGCGACAAAGCCCACGUUCCCAUAAUCUCAUUCUCCGCCUCAAGCCCAUCUCUCACUUCAAUCCGCUCCCCCUACUUCAUCCGCGCCGCGCCAAACGACUCGUCGCAGGUCAAAGCCCUAAGCGCCCUAAUCCAAGCCUUCGGCUGGCGACAAGUCGUUCCCAUCUACGCAGAUUUUCCAAUAUUGGACCUAUUAUAUGGCCGGGAGAUAGGAGUUCCGGUGAAGGAUGGUUUUGUUGAGCUUGUUAAGGUAACAACAGAUCCAAGCCUAACACUACAGAUGUCACAGGCUUCAGUAUUGAUGUCUUUAAGGCAGCAGUAGAAUUGUUACCAUAUGCUCUUCCUUAUGAGUUUGUUCCUUUCACCAAUCCUAAUGGCACCAACACCGGCCUCACUUACAACGAUUUGUGCGAUCAAGUAUAUCUUGGGAACUUCGAUGCCGUGGUUGGAGAUGUGACAAUUAGAGCAAACAGGUCUUUGUAUGUGGACUUUACAAUGCCAUACACAGAAGCUGGUGUGGUCAUGGUUGUGCCUGUCAAAGACAUCAAGAGACAAAGUGCAUGGACUUUCUUGAAGCCUUGGAGAUGGGACCUUUGGCUAACAAUUACUUGGUUCUUUCUCUUCAUUGGUUUUGUGGUUUGGGUUCUUGAACAUCGAAUUAAUAAACAUUAUCGAGGCCCUCCAGCAUACCAAGUUGGCACAAUUAUUUGGUUCUCCUUCUCCACCAUGGUCUUUGCACAGCCGGCAAGAGUUGUUAGCAACCUGGCUAGAUUCGUGAUGAUUGUAUGGAUAUUUGUUUUGUUAGUACUGACAAUAAAUUACACAGCCAGUCUAACAUCACUUUAUACAGUAGAAAAAGUUCAGCCCACUGUUACCACUCUAAGUGAUCUGUUACAGAAUGGGGAUAAUGUUGGCUACGCAAGAAAUUAUGUUUUUGAUAUCUUGAUUCAAGUAGGGUUUGACAAAUCCAAGCUUAAGAAGUUUAAAACUAUGGAAGACAUAGAUGAAGCUCUUACUAGAGGAAGUGCAAAUGGUGGUAUUGCUGCUGUUGUUGAUGAAAGCCCCAGCAUGAAGAUUUUUAUAGCAAAAUAUUGCAAGAAAUAUACCUUGUUGGGACCCUUCUUCAAAACUGAUGGCUUUGCUUUUGUGUUUCCUAAACAUUCCCCUCUAGUACGCGAUGUUUCACAAGCAAUCCUAAAUGUUACCGGAGGAGAGUUGAUAAUGAACAUCGAAAACAAAUGGUUCAAGAAGGAAAGCAAUUGUGAAGAUCUGAACACCAAGGUUUCUAGCAGAAGUCUUGGCACUGACAGCUUCUGGUUCCUCUUCGUCUUAGUCGGGUUGGUGUCGACAGUAGCUCUCAUCCUAUCUGUAGCUUCCUUCAUUCAUAAGCAUAGGCAUGUGUUGGUGCACCCGGAUACUGAUCUGAAACCCUCAACAUCAGAAAAGAUUCGAGCUAUGUUCGAAAUUUUCAACGAGAAAGACCUCAACUACCACAAUUUCAAAACCAAGCAACCACAAGAGACAGUGGAGGCCUCAUCCAACAAAAAUAGCUGCCCAAUGAGUCCAGCUCUCCACCACAAUCCAAACCCUAGGGAUUCCAAUUCUGUUUUUGAUAUAGAGCAACCGGAAUAUGAGCCUCCAGAAGUUCUUGCUACUCCUGAGGAUGCUGUCACAGUUCAAGAAAUGCACAGAUAG
RNA transcript from Fragaria vesca subsp. vesca, 2057 nucleotides. It is a transcript of the gene named glutamate receptor 2.7-like, with no coding region annotated. The record is from RefSeq and is a predicted model, not a curated record. NCBI's taxonomy places the organism in Eukaryota, Viridiplantae, Streptophyta, Magnoliopsida, Rosales, Rosaceae. The transcript is spliced from 6 exons.